RNAcentral lists this ribosomal RNA (253 nucleotides) under uncultured bacterium. Its description in RNAcentral is "partial 16S ribosomal RNA". It matches the Rfam family "Bacterial small subunit ribosomal RNA", at positions 524 to 776 of the family's 1533-position model. The record is from RNAcentral.
UACGGGGGGAGCAAGCGUUGUUCGGAUUUACUGGGCGUAAAGGGCGCGUAGGCGGUAGCACAAGUCAGUUGUGAAAUCUCCGGGCUUAACUCGGAACGGUCAGAUGAUACUGUUUUGCUAGAGUACAGAAGGGGCAAUCGGAAUUCUUGGUGUAGCGGUGAAAUGCGUAGAUAUCAAGAGGAACACCUGAGGUGAAGACGGGUUGCUGGGCUGAUACUGACGCUGAAGCGCGAAAGCUAGGGUAGCAAACGGG